CCUACGGGGGGCAGCAGUGAGGAAUAUUGGUCAAUGGACGAGAGUCUGAACCAGCCAAGUAGCGUGAAGGAUGACUGCCCUAUGGGUUGUAAACUUCUUUUAUAUGGGAAUAAAAUGUUCCACGUGUGGGAUUUUGUAUGUACCAUGUGAAUAAGGAUCGGCUAACUCCGUGCCAGCAGCCGCGGUAAUACGGAGGAUCCGAGCGUUAUCCGGAUUUAUUGGGUUUAAAGGGAGCGUAGGUGGAUUGUUAAGUCAGUUGUGAAAGUUUGCGGCUCAACCGUAAAAUUGCAGUUGAAACUGGCAGUCUUGAGUACAGUAGAGGUGGGCGGAAUUCGUGGUGUAGCGGUGAAAUGCUUAGAUAUCACGAAGAACUCCGAUUGCGAAGGCAGUUCACUGGACUGCAACUGACACUGAGGCUCGAAAGUGUGGGUAUCAAACAGGAUUAGAUACCCUUGUAGUC
This 460-nucleotide ribosomal RNA is filed under the name uncultured bacterium. RNAcentral's name for it is "partial 16S ribosomal RNA". It matches the Rfam family "Bacterial small subunit ribosomal RNA", at positions 338 to 795 of the family's 1533-position model. The record is from RNAcentral.